UGGGUCUAAUACCGGAUAGGACCACGGGAUGCAUGUCCUGUGGUGGAAAGCGAUUAGCGGUGUGGGAUGGGCCCGCGGCCUAUCAGCUUGUUGGUGGGGUGAUGGCCUACCAAGGCGACGACGGGUAGCCGGCCUGAGAGGGUGUCCGGCCACACUGGGACUGAGAUACGGCCCAGACUCCUACGGGAGGCAGCAGUGGGGAAUAUUGCACAAUGGGCGCAAGCCUGAUGCAGCGACGCCGCGUGGGGGAUGACGGCCUUCGGGUUGUAAACCUCUUUCACCAUCGACGAAGGUUCGGGUUUUCUCGGAUUGACGGUAGGUGGAGAAGAAGCACCGGCCAACUACGUGCCAGCAGCCGCGGUAAUACGUAGGGUGCGAGCGUUGUCCGGAAUUACUGGGCGUAAAGAGCUCGUAGGUGGUUUGUCGCGUUGUUCGUGAAAACUCACGGCUUAACUGUGAGCGUGCGGGCGAUACGGGCAGACUAGAGUACUGCAGGGGAGACUGGAAUUCCUGGUGUAGCGGUGGAAUGCGCAGAUAUCAGGAGGAACACCGGUGGCGAAGGCGGGUCUCUGGGCAGUAACUGACGCUGAGGAGCGAAAGCGUGGGGAGCGAACAGGAUUAGAUACCCUGGUAGUCCACGCCGUAAACGGUGGGUACUAGGUGUGGGUUUCCUUCCUUGGGAUCCGUGCCGUAGCUAACGCAUUAAGUACCCCGCCUGGGGAGUACGGCCGCAAGGCUAAAACUCAAAGGAAUUGACGGGGGCCCGCACAAGCGGCGGAGCAUGUGGAUUAAUUCGAUGCAACGCGAAGAACCUUACCUGGGUUUGACAUGCACAGGACGCGUCUAGAGAUAGGCGUUCC
Molecule: ribosomal RNA, 860 nt
Filed under: uncultured Mycobacterium sp.
Lineage: Bacteria; Bacillati; Actinomycetota; Actinomycetes; Mycobacteriales; Mycobacteriaceae
Description: bacterial SSU rRNA
Rfam family: Bacterial small subunit ribosomal RNA
Source: RNAcentral